Molecule: small nucleolar RNA, 70 nt
Organism: Triplophysa dalaica
Lineage: Eukaryota; Metazoa; Chordata; Actinopteri; Cypriniformes; Nemacheilidae
Product: small nucleolar RNA SNORD66
Exons: 1
Source: RefSeq, a predicted model, not a curated record
UUCAAAUGAUGACCUCUGUUUUGUGCUUGUGUCUGGGCCACUGAUCUACACUGUUUUGUCUUUCGUUGGA